UACGUAGGGUGCAAGCGUUGUCCGGAAUUAUUGGGCGUAAAGAGCUCGUAGGCGGUCUGUUACGUCGGCUGUGAAAACCUGGGGCUCAACUCCGGGCCUGCAGCCGAUACGGGCAGACUAGAAUUCGGUAGGGGAGACUGGAAUUCCUGGUGUAGCGGUGAAAUGCGCAGAUAUCAGGAGGAACACCGGUGGCGAAGGCGGGUCUCUGGGCCGAUAUUGACGCUGAGGAGCGAAAGCGUGGGGAGCGAACAGG
This 253-nucleotide ribosomal RNA is filed under the name uncultured bacterium. Its description in RNAcentral is "partial 16S ribosomal RNA". It matches the Rfam family "Bacterial small subunit ribosomal RNA", at positions 524 to 776 of the family's 1533-position model. The record is from RNAcentral. RNAcentral also lists the same sequence under 1 other name.